CGGACGGGUGAGUAACGCGUGAGAAUCUGCCUCCAGGUCGGGGACAACACGCGGGAAACUGCUGCUAAUCCCGGAUAAGCCCUAGGGUAAAAGAUUUAUUGCCUGGAGAGGAGCUCGCGUCCGAUUAGCUAGAUGGUGAGGUAAGAGCUCACCAUGGCGACGAUCGGUAGCUGUUCUGAGAGGAAGAUCAGCCACACUGGGACUGAGACACGGCCCAGACUCCUACGGGAGGCAGCAGUGGGGAAUUUUCCGCAAUGGGCGAAAGCCUGACGGAGCAGGACCGCGUGCGGGAAGAAGGCCCUUGGGUCGUAAACCGCUUUUCUUAGGGAAGAAGCUCUGACGGUACCUAAGGAAUCAGCCUCGGCUAACUCCGUGCCAGCAGCCGCGGUAAUACGGAGGAGGCAAGCGUUAUCCGGAAUUAUUGGGCGUAAAGCGUCCGCAGGCGGCUUAUCAAGUCUGCUGUCAAAGACUGGGGCUCAACCCUGGGGAGGCAGUGGAAACUGAGAAGCUAGAGUGCAGUAGGGGUAGAGGGAAUUCCCAGUGUAGCGGUGAAAUGCGUAGAGAUUGGGAAGAACACCGGUGGCGAAAGCGCUCUACUGGGCUGUAACUGACGCUGAGGGACGAAAGCUAGGGGAGCGAAAGGGAUUAGAUGCCCCUGUAGU
RNAcentral lists this ribosomal RNA (662 nucleotides) under uncultured cyanobacterium. RNAcentral's name for it is "bacterial SSU rRNA". It matches the Rfam family "Bacterial small subunit ribosomal RNA", at positions 99 to 794 of the family's 1533-position model. The record is from RNAcentral. Lineage: Bacteria; Bacillati; Cyanobacteriota.